AUUGAACGCUGGCGGCAGGCCUAACACAUGCAAGUCGAACGAGUGGCGGACGGGUGAGUAAUGUCUGGGGAACUGCCCGAUGGAGGGGGAUAACUACUGGAAACGGUAGCUAAUACCGCAUACUAUCGGAUGUACCCAUAUGGGAUUAGCUAGUAGGUGGGGUAAAGGCUCACCAAGGCGACGAUCCCUAGCUGGUCUGAGAGGAUGACCAGCCACACGUGGACUGAGACACGGUCCAGACUCCUACGGUGGGAAGCAGUGGGGAAUAUUGCACAAUGGGCGCAAGCCUGAUGCAGCCAUGCCGCGUGUAUGAAGAAGGCCUUCGGGUUGUAAAGUACUUUCAGCGGGGAGGCGUUACCCGCAGAAGAAGCACCGGCUAACUCCGUGCCAGCAGCCGCGGUAAUAC
This 406-nucleotide ribosomal RNA is filed under the name uncultured bacterium. RNAcentral describes it as "partial 16S ribosomal RNA". It matches the Rfam family "Bacterial small subunit ribosomal RNA", at positions 30 to 526 of the family's 1533-position model. The record is from RNAcentral.